Molecule: ribosomal RNA, 1495 nt
Filed under: Bifidobacterium catenulatum subsp. kashiwanohense
Lineage: Bacteria; Bacillati; Actinomycetota; Actinomycetes; Bifidobacteriales; Bifidobacteriaceae
Description: bacterial SSU rRNA
Rfam family: Bacterial small subunit ribosomal RNA
Source: RNAcentral
UUUGUGGAGGGUUCGAUUCUGGCUCAGGAUGAACGCUGGCGGCGUGCUUAACACAUGCAAGUCGAACGGGAUCCCAGGAGCUUGCUCCUGGGUGAGAGUGGCGAACGGGUGAGUAAUGCGUGACCGACCUGCCCCAUACACCGGAAUAGCUCCUGGAAACGGGUGGUAAUGCCGGAUGCUCCGACUCCUCGCAUGGGGUGUCGGGAAAGAUUAUAUCGGUAUGGGAUGGGGUCGCGUCCUAUCAGGUAGUCGGCGGGGUAACGGCCCACCGAGCCUACGACGGGUAGCCGGCCUGAGAGGGCGACCGGCCACAUUGGGACUGAGAUACGGCCCAGACUCCUACGGGAGGCAGCAGUGGGGAAUAUUGCACAAUGGGCGCAAGCCUGAUGCAGCGACGCCGCGUGCGGGAUGACGGCCUUCGGGUUGUAAACCGCUUUUGAUCGGGAGCAAGCCUUCGGGUGAGUGUACCUUUCGAAUAAGCACCGGCUAACUACGUGCCAGCAGCCGCGGUAAUACGUAGGGUGCAAGCGUUAUCCGGAAUUAUUGGGCGUAAAGGGCUCGUAGGCGGUUCGUCGCGUCCGGUGUGAAAGUCCAUCGCUUAACGGUGGAUCUGCGCCGGGUACGGGCGGGCUGGAGUGCGGUAGGGGAGACUGGAAUUCCCGGUGUAACGGUGGAAUGUGUAGAUAUCGGGAAGAACACCAAUGGCGAAGGCAGGUCUCUGGGCCGUUACUGACGCUGAGGAGCGAAAGCGUGGGGAGCGAACAGGAUUAGAUACCCUGGUAGUCCACGCCGUAAACGGUGGAUGCUGGAUGUGGGGCCCGUUCCACGGGUUCCGUGUCGGAGCUAACGCGUUAAGCAUCCCGCCUGGGGAGUACGGCCGCAAGGCUAAAACUCAAAGAAAUUGACGGGGGCCCGCACAAGCGGCGGAGCAUGCGGAUUAAUUCGAUGCAACGCGAAGAACCUUACCUGGGCUUGACAUGUUCCCGACCGCUCCAGAGAUGGGGCUUCCCUUCGGGGCGGGUUCACAGGUGGUGCAUGGUCGUCGUCAGCUCGUGUCGUGAGAUGUUGGGUUAAGUCCCGCAACGAGCGCAACCCUCGCCCUGUGUUGCCAGCACNUNAUGGUGGGAACUCACGGGGGACCGCCGGGGUCAACUCGGAGGAAGGUGGGGAUGACGUCAGAUCAUCAUGCCCCUUACGUCCAGGGCUUCACGCAUGCUACAAUGGCCGGUACAACGGGAUGCGACANGGCGACGUGGAGCGGAUCCCUGAAAACCGGUCUCAGUUCGGAUUGGAGUCUGCAACCCGACUCCAUGAAGGCGGAGUCGCUAGUAAUCGCGGAUCAGCAACGCCGCGGUGAAUGCGUUCCCGGGCCUUGUACACACCGCCCGUCAAGUCAUGAAAGUGGGUAGCACCCGAAGCCGGUGGCCUAACCCCUUGUGGGAUGGAGCCGUCUAAGGUGAGACUCGUGAUUGGGACUAAGUCGUAACAAGGUAGC